This 89-nucleotide non-coding RNA is filed under the name Clostridium saudiense. RNAcentral describes it as "Glycine riboswitch". It matches the Rfam family "Glycine riboswitch aptamer", at positions 9 to 86 of the family's 94-position model. Rfam says of the family: This family represents the bacterial glycine riboswitch. Glycine riboswitches usually consist of two metabolite-binding aptamers domains with similar structures in tandem. The aptamers cooperatively bind glycine to regulate the expression of downstream genes. The record is from RNAcentral. Lineage: Bacteria; Bacillati; Bacillota; Clostridia; Eubacteriales; Clostridiaceae.
AAAACUCUGGAAAGUCUAAUGUAUAAAAGACACCGACGAAGCAAUCUUAAAUGUAGUAGGAGAAUCUUUCAGGUAAAAAGACAGAGGCG